AACGUGGGUCCUGGGGAAUUGAGCCUUGAACCAUGGUCCUUUGACUUCACAGGCAAGCGCUUAACCACUAAGCCAUCUCUCCAGCCCUCCCUGAACUUUUGAUUACGGGGUUUGUGUCUUACCAGGAGAUGUUACAAUCUUGAAGCCCAAAGCACCACCUUUGCUCAGUCCAUCAGCUAUCUAUGAACAUAGGGUGGACAUGUGGCUGGGAAGAAAAGCAUUCUGUGGAAAGAAGGUGGAAUUGCACGUUUGAGGACUCUGAGGCACAGACAGAUCCAGCCUGGCUGCACAUCUUUAGACCCUUCUGACAUGGAGAGCUAACUUUUGGUCUUGUUCAUGCUGUUGGGAUUUUGGUGUUUUGUUUAUCUUUGUAGACAAAAUAAGAUAGGUUGAUUUACAUGUUACAUUUAUUUUAAAACUAUGUUUUAUUAUUUUGUUUGUAUGUUCAUAUGCACAUGGCCUUGUGUGUGUGCAUGCAUGCAUGCCCACAAGCUAUGUAUGUUUUGUGCACAUGUGUGUAUAUGUAGUGGUGGCUGCCAUUUUAUUCUUUGCAAAAUCAGGCCAGUCUGAGAUUUAAAGUUUUGGGACUAGUUUCUUGUAAUUUUUCUAAAUUAUUGUAAGAAAAAUUAUCAAUAUAAAUAGGUUAUUACAUGUAA
This is a long non-coding RNA of Jaculus jaculus (lesser Egyptian jerboa), 656 nucleotides long. RefSeq lists it as uncharacterized. NCBI's taxonomy places the organism in Eukaryota, Metazoa, Chordata, Mammalia, Rodentia, Dipodidae. The transcript has 2 exons. The record is from RefSeq and is a predicted model, not a curated record.